AAAGAAAGAGGGAGGAAGGAAGAAAAAAGGAAAGUAGAAAGAGACCUUCGGGUCUAGUGGCGCACGGGUGCGUAACGCGUGGGAAUCUGCCCUUGGGUUCGGAAUAACAGUUGGAAACGACUGCUAAUACCGGAUGAUGACGUAAGUCCAAAGAUUUAUCGCCCAAGGAUGAGCCCGCGUAGGAUUAGCUAGUUGGUGAGGUAAAGGCUCACCAAGGCGACGAUCCUUAGCUGGUCUGAGAGGAUGAUCAGCCACACUGGGACUGAGACACGGCCCAGACUCCUACGGGAGGCAGCAGUGGGGAAUAUUGGACAAUGGGCGAAAGCCUGAUCCAGCAAUGCCGCGUGAGUGAUGAAGGCCUUAGGGUUGUAAAGCUCUUUUACCCGGGAUGAUAAUGACAGUACCGGGAGAAUAAGCUCCGGCUAACUCCGUA
Molecule: ribosomal RNA, 433 nt
Filed under: uncultured bacterium
Lineage: Bacteria
Description: partial 16S ribosomal RNA
Rfam family: Bacterial small subunit ribosomal RNA
Source: RNAcentral